UACGUAGGUGACAAGCGUUAUCCGGAAUUACUGGGCGUAAAGCGCACGCAGGCGGUGCGUUAAGUCUGACGUGAAAUCUCCUGGCUUAACUGGGAGGGGUCGUUGGAAACUGGCGGACUUGAGGCGAUGAGAGGGGUGUAGAAUUCCCGGUGUAGUGGUGGAAUGCGUAGAUAUCGGGAGGAAUACCAGUGGCGAAAGCGGCACCCUGGCAUUAGCCUGACGCUCAUGUGCGAAGGCGUGGGGAGCGAACGGG
Molecule: ribosomal RNA, 253 nt
Filed under: uncultured bacterium
Lineage: Bacteria
Description: partial 16S ribosomal RNA
Rfam family: Bacterial small subunit ribosomal RNA
Source: RNAcentral